Ictalurus punctatus (channel catfish) is the source of this 800-nucleotide long non-coding RNA. The record is from Ensembl. Lineage: Eukaryota; Metazoa; Chordata; Actinopteri; Siluriformes; Ictaluridae.
AUCGGAUUUUAUUCUUCACCAUGCGCGCGAUCAUGAAGCUCCUCAUCUGCUGUGUGUUCAUGCUGUUCCUGGUGAACGUAGUUCCAGCUGCAGGUUCUACCACAGAACUCCUGUCAUGCUGCUUUCAGCAGCUUGGUAAUAGAUCAGUGGUGUACAUACUGAACAACACCGUGGAGUCCGAUUUCACACAGUGGACCAGAAACAAGACACCCAUUAAGGAUGAACAUGGCAAUGUGGACAAGAGCAUUGUCAUAGGCUAUGGUCAGAACUGGAUCACUCUAAAUCAGAGUUACUUAGACAUUGUAUUCUACUUUCAGACAUAUGAUAUGAUGAAAAAUCAAGAAGUUCAAUGUACAGAUUUGUGUGAACCGGGAUCAGCUAACCUUCCGAUUGGAGGUGAGACACAUUAUUUCAUCACCACUUAUUACAUGUUUUAUUAUUACUGUCCAGAUCAUCAAAUUUAUAGAUUAAAACAAAACUCAAACUAAAUCUAAAGGAAAUAAAUACUGAUUUCAACAAGCUGAAAGUGAUUUAGGAAAGGAAGAAAGAGUGAUAAGAGAGAGAAAGAAUGAAAGAGCUAUUUCAUGAGAAGAUAAAAUGUCAUAACCCCAACAAUUAUGCUUUACAGAGAAGCAUGAGACAAAUCAGCGUGAUGGAGGUGACGGAGGUUUGUAUCACACGCAGAUAAACUUUGUUAUUUCUUGCAGCAGAUUGUUUUAGGAAUAGACAUAUGGUAUAUUUACAAAAAUGAUAUUUGUUGCCAGCGGUUUAGACAUUAAUGGCUGUGUGUUGAGUUAUUU